UACGGAGGGUGCAAGCGUUAUCCGGAUUCACUGGGUUUAAAGGGUGCGUAGGAGGGCAGGUAAGUCAGUGGUGAAAUCUCCAAGCUUAACUUGGAAACUGCCGUUGAUACUAUCUGUCUUGAAUAUUGUGGAGGUGAGCGGAAUAUGUCAUGUAGCGGUGAAAUGCUUAGAUAUGACAUAGAACACCAAUUGCGUAGGCAGCUUACUACACGAUCAUUGACGCUGAGGCACGAAAGCGUGGGGAGCAAACAGG
This 253-nucleotide ribosomal RNA is filed under the name uncultured bacterium. RNAcentral's name for it is "partial 16S ribosomal RNA". It matches the Rfam family "Bacterial small subunit ribosomal RNA", at positions 524 to 776 of the family's 1533-position model. The record is from RNAcentral.